CCGGGCUGAAGGGACAGCACGGGAGAAGGCACAGGGCACAGAGGGGCACUUUGUGCGACCACUUCCCACCCAGCCCUAUAAACUCAGUUCUGACGUCUAACCCUCAAGGAAGGCUGACUCGCAUUCCCUAUCCUCCUUGUCAGAUCGGCUACCUUCUCUCCAUCCUCCAGAACCCUCGCAGCAUCUCCAUGGCCUCUGCACAUACCUGAUGAUAUCGCCUGACCUGUUUGUCCCCCACCUCCCCACCGAGUGGCCACCCCUCAAGUGCAGCCACCUCGUGGCUGAAUGCCGAGCACAGAGUCCGGCCAGAGUCGGCGUUCACGGCAAGGGUGCUGCCUGAGCCGUCAAGUGCCUCCCAGCUAGAGACGUCCUCGCCGUCGCAGGAAGGUCGGCGGCCAAGUAAGAAACCUACACCUGUAUGUGUAUCAUUCAGGUAUGUUCUGCUGGAAAGCCUUCUAUGAGCUAUGAAGAGCAAAACAAAGUCCUUGUCCUCAACAAGCUUAUUCUCCAGUGUCCGUGGACAUAAAACUCUCACCUGUAAACAGAGGACAUAUGAAUAAACUGAGGCUGAGAGAGACUAACUCGCCUGGGGCCAUAAGGCCAGUGAGCAGCAAAGCCAGGUCUUGCCGACUCCAACCUUCGUGAUGCUCUUCUCAUGUCGUGAUGACAUCAGGAUGUGACCGGGAGCCCACCUGCAGGUCCAGUCCAGUCCAGCCAGAGAUGCAAGGGUUUGUCGGCUGUGGAUCUCACCCUGGGCCAGGAAAGACCUGCCAGGGGCCUGCCUGUGAAUCGUGGGGGAGGGAGCAGGCGACAGUGCUCGGUUCUCUGUCCCGCCAGAGUCCGCUUCGGCUGACCUAGGCCCUGCUGGGCUUGGCUCACCGAGUGUUCAUUCUAGCGCCUUCUUCCCUCUCCCCCUGCAAAGCCUUUUGUGUAAUGGGUUUUCCCUUCCAGUGCAAUUUCAAAACGUGUUGAGCCAAGGAGAGCCCUCAGGCCUCCUCUGGGUGUUUGCUGUUGUUGACAGGAAACAUUAGUGAUGAGUCACUCCAAAAGCAGUGUAUCAAAGAGCAGGGCAGACUCGGGUGGGUCUGGAGAGCGCCUGGUGUCAGCUCGGGGAGGCCUUUGUGAGCGCAGCUGUGGGCAUUACUCUCUCGGGUGCGGGACAUAGAGGACAGUGCCCCAGCGAAGGAGCCUCAGGUCAGAGCACAGGCUGAGCAGAAGUCAGCAAUGGAGAGCUGAUGAAAUCCAUGUCCAUCCGGGUCUGGGAGCCAGGGUGUCAUAGCCAAAGGGUGCUCCUGCUGCGGAACCAGGCCCGGCCUGAGCCCCGGGUGGGAGAGGGCUGCCAGCCGACAGUGUCUAUGGGCUGACUCACCGGAGGGCUACGGGAGUUGGGGGCCACCUGCAAGUAUGGGCGUCCCUGGGGGACAUGCCAAAACCCACCCAGCCUUUAGGGAGAUGAGCAGUGUGCGCGUGACCAACAUCAGCAUGUCACCACGCACGGACUGCGGUGGACUGAGUGUGUCCACCCAAAAUCCUUAUGUUGAGACCUAACCCCCACUGUGAUGGUGUUAGGGGCGGGCCUUUGGGAGGUCAUGAGGUCAAGAGGGAUUAAUGCCCCUAUAAAAGAGACCCCAGAGCCCCCACAUCUCCUACCGUAUGAGGACACAGCAAGCAGACGCCGUCUGUGAACCAGGAAGUGGGGUCUCACCAGACACCGGAUCUGCUGGUAUCUUGGUCCCGAAUGUCCAGCCUCCAGAGCUGUGAAGAAUGAAUGAAUGUCUGUUGUCCCUAAACCCCGAGUCUGGUGUUUGUUGUGGCAACCAGAGCUUACUAGAUACAUCCUCGUACUUACCUCUUGUUGCUCAAAAUCCUCUGUAUGUUGAUGACCACAGGGCUGAUUCUGGUACUUCCUACAGUGUCUAUAGCUAAAUCAAUACUCACGUAUUUGAUGAACUCCUGUCCUUAUUUAAGUGUCCUAAGGAUGUGGCCGAAGGCACAAGGGAGCACGAGACAAAAUGCCUAAACUUCAACAAACGUGUAUUCAAAAUAGGAUCAAAAUAGAGAUUCCCAGAGCACGGUGCAGAACACUACACUCUGAACUGUGAGAUUGUGUGGUUACAACCCAAAUAGCAUUAGGGGUUUAGAGAGGACAGAAAACCUCAGCAUUUAGAGUCAUACUUAGAGUAAUCAGGGGAGGCUUCCUGGAGGUGGUGAGGCCUGAGUGAGUCUUUGAAUGAUGGGUUCAGAAUGGAGAGCGGAAAUUCUAGAUGGAAGGAGUAGCAUGAACAGUCAGAACUGAAUUCAGAGUUAGCUCGAGGCGUGUGGGUCAUUCACUUCUUGGCCUCACUACCAUAGUCCAGUCAAAUAGCAGAUGGUAGAUGAUACCACUGAUAUGAGAAAACAGCGUGCAGCCCACUGACAGAGCCCCGAAACAUGCAGAGUGGGAACUUCCUCAAGUACUCGUCACUGCCUUAGUGCCUUCAUGUGUGAAAGGAACUUUAUCCAGACACCUGGGUGGCUCAGUUGUUAAGCAUCUUGGCUCAGGUCAUGAUCCCCGGGUCCUGGG
Neomonachus schauinslandi (Hawaiian monk seal) is the source of this 2563-nucleotide long non-coding RNA. RefSeq lists it as uncharacterized. The record is from RefSeq and is a predicted model, not a curated record. Lineage: Eukaryota; Metazoa; Chordata; Mammalia; Carnivora; Phocidae. The transcript is spliced from 3 exons.